Molecule: ribosomal RNA, 460 nt
Filed under: uncultured bacterium
Lineage: Bacteria
Description: partial 16S ribosomal RNA
Rfam family: Bacterial small subunit ribosomal RNA
Source: RNAcentral
CCUACGGGUGGCAGCAGUGAGGAAUAUUGGUCAAUGGACGAGAGUCUGAACCAGCCAAGUAGCGUGAAGGAUGACUGCCCUAUGGGUUGUAAACUUCUUUUAUAAAGGAAUAAAACGAGGCACGUGUGCCUUUUUGCGUGUACUUUAUGAAUAAGGAUCGGCUAACUCCGUGCCAGCAGCCGCGGUAAUACGGAGGAUCCGAGCGUUAUCCGGAUUUAUUGGGUUUAAAGGGAGCGUAGAUGGGUUGUUAAGUCAGUUGUGAAAGUUUGCGGCUCAACCGUAAAAUUGCAAUUGAUACUGGCAGGCUUGAGUAUAGUUGAGGUAGGCGGAAUGCGUGGUGUAGCGGUGAAAGGCUUAGAGAUCACGAAGAACCCCGAUUGCGAAGGCAGCUUACCAAACUGUGACUGACAUUGAUGCUCGAAAGUGUGGGGAGCAAACAGGAUUAGAUACCCUAGUAGUC